GAGUUUGAUCAUGGCUCAGAUUGAACGCUGGCGGCAGGCCUAACACAUGCAAGUCGAGCGGAUGACGGGAGCUUGCUCCUUGAUUCAGCGGCGGACGGGUGAGUAAUGCCUAGGAAUCUGCCUGGUAGUGGGGGACAACGUUUCGAAAGGAACGCUAAUACCGCAUACGUCCUACGGGAGAAAGCAGGGGACCUUCGGGCCUUGCGCUAUCAGAUGAGCCUAGGUCGGAUUAGCUAGUUGGUGGGGUAAUGGCUCACCAAGGCGACGAUCCGUAACUGGUCUGAGAGGAUGAUCAGUCACACUGGAACUGAGACACGGUCCAGACUCCUACGGGAGGCAGCAGUGGGGAAUAUUGGACAAUGGGCGAAAGCCUGAUCCAGCCAUGCCGCGUGUGUGAAGAAGGUCUUCGGAUUGUAAAGCACUUUAAGUUGGGAGGAAGGGCAGUAAGUUAAUACCUUGCUGUUUUUGACGUUUACCGGACAGAAUAAGCACCGGCUAACUCUGUGCCAGCA
RNAcentral lists this ribosomal RNA (512 nucleotides) under bacterium enrichment culture clone ALO1_GLFRUDD03FNT4A. RNAcentral describes it as "bacterial SSU rRNA". It matches the Rfam family "Bacterial small subunit ribosomal RNA", at positions 9 to 513 of the family's 1533-position model. The record is from RNAcentral.